UGGGGAAUAUUGCACAAUGGGCGCAAGCCUGAUGCAGCCAUGCCGCGUGUAUGAAGAAGGCCUUCGGGUUGUAAAGCACUUUCAGCGGGGAGGAAGGCGAUAAGGUUAAUAACCUCAUCGAUUGACGUUACCCGCAGAAGAAGCACCGGCUAACUCCGUGCCAGCAGCCGCGGUAAUACGGAGGGUGCAAGCGUUAAUCGGAAUUACUGGGCGUAAAGCGCACGCAGGCGGUCUGUCAAGUCGGAUGUGAAAUCCCCGGGCUUAACCCGGGAAUUGCAUCUGAUACUGGUCAGCUAGAGUCUUGUAGAGGGGGGUAGAAUUCCAUGUGUAGCGGUGAAAUGCGUAGAGAUGUGGAGGAAUACCGGUGGCGAAGGCGGCCCCCUGGACAAAGACUGACGCUCAGGUGCGAAAGCGUGGGGAGCAAACAGG
RNAcentral lists this ribosomal RNA (429 nucleotides) under Chloroflexota bacterium. RNAcentral describes it as "Chloroflexi bacterium partial 16S ribosomal RNA". It matches the Rfam family "Bacterial small subunit ribosomal RNA", at positions 355 to 776 of the family's 1533-position model. The record is from RNAcentral. Lineage: Bacteria; Bacillati; Chloroflexota.